GUGUGCUACUCUUUUCUAAAAGUCUUACCUUCCGCAAUAGCAUGGGUUUGCUUACAACUGCAACAUCACGAAUGUCAGAUUCGUUACAUGAUCUGCGUAUCCUUCAGAGACAACUACCUUUGUUGGGUUUGUGUUUAUAGAAUUAUGUUGUUUUUUUAUUUAUAUUUUUUCGUUUUAUGACAUGGCGUUGUAAGAACUCCUCUUUAUAUAUAACGUGAGCAUUGUUACAAUAUUGCAGUCAUAAAUUUUCGAAGGCAUUCACAAACCUUUGAAAGCAUCGUGGUAUACUAUGUUUCGAACGUUCUUUUGUUCUGAGGUACCUAAACUUGGGUAGCAAUUGCUAAAUCGUUGAAAUUCUAUAGGGCAAAUAUUGUCAAUUGUAAUUUUCUAAUACCUUUUUUUUCCUUUCUUAUUAUACUUUGAACAACAUGAUGCAUGUAUUUUUUUUUUACUAAAACUACAAAAAAAAACAUGUCACGCAAC
This 483-nucleotide long non-coding RNA is filed under the name Mytilus galloprovincialis (Mediterranean mussel). The record is from RNAcentral. Lineage: Eukaryota; Metazoa; Mollusca; Bivalvia; Mytilida; Mytilidae.